CUAAACGGUGUUAAUUUGUGGAUUUCUGUAGGCUUUGAAAAGCAAAAUUAAGACUCUAUGGGAUUUUGGAUGUGUAACAUAAACUGUGGGCAACGUGCUUCGCUUGUAUAAAUCAGCAUCAUUACAUUGAAGCCAGAAGAUCUCUGCUGUGCUCCAGCUGAGAAAGUGGCCUACGACUCUGAACACAAGGGGAUGUGCUGGAAGGCAGUCCUGGUCCAGCAAGGUACAUCAAUGGGAAAGCAAGCCUCUGCUGAGGAUUUCACUAGGAGUGAAAUCCUGGUUCACUGAAGGCCAUGGGAAAGAGACUUCACCCUAAGCAUCAAGAAACGGACGUCUUCCCAAAGUUAAUUUUGACCUCUGGAAUUCAGCAGAGAAAUAAAGCACAAAAUAAAGCUGCAUUGGUUAAAAGAAACUAUUGCAACAUAAGUCGAAAAGCCAAAACUGAAGGGCAGAGGUGGCAGGGAAGAAGGCAUACUGCAUAAUUUCUGAUGGCAAUAUUCAUAGCAUCUCACAGUAAGUACAUUCAAAUUCAUUUCUAGGAACUAAUAGUUGCUUCUUUUGGAUU
This 565-nucleotide long non-coding RNA is filed under the name Dromaius novaehollandiae (emu). RNAcentral's name for it is "lncRNA (ENSDNVG00000013008.1)". The record is from RNAcentral. Lineage: Eukaryota; Metazoa; Chordata; Aves; Casuariiformes; Dromaiidae.